Molecule: ribosomal RNA, 397 nt
Filed under: uncultured bacterium
Lineage: Bacteria
Description: partial 16S ribosomal RNA
Rfam family: Bacterial small subunit ribosomal RNA
Source: RNAcentral
AUAUUGCGCAAUGGGGGAAACCCUGACGCAGCGACGCCGCGUGAACGAUGAAGGCCUUCGGGUCGUAAAGUUCUGUCCUCAGGGAAGAAUAAAUGACGGUACCUGAGGAGGAAGCCCCGGCUAACUACGUGCCAGCAGCCGCGGUAAUACGUAGGGGGCAAGCGUUGUCCGGAAUUACUGGGCGUAAAGCGCGCGCAGGCGGAUGGGCAAGUCGGGAGUGAAAUCCUGGGGCUCAACCCUGGGACUGCUAUCGAUACUGCUCGUCUAGGGACCGGUAGAGGCCGGUGGAAUUCCCGGUGUAGCGGUGGAAUGCGUAGAUAUCGGGAAGAACACCUGUGGCGAAGGCGGCCGGCUGGGCCGGAUCCGACGCUGAGGCGCGAAAGCGUGGGGAGCAAAC